ACGAAAAGCGAUUGGAGGAAGAAAAUGACAAAUAUAAGUUGUUUAAAAAUAACGGCGUAGUUGUUACCGUUUACACUGUUGGAAUACCCGGUGGUUAAAACACAGUAAUACGCGUUGUUGCACGGUAGCACACGGUAUUGCACCAAUUAUUGACUCUUACGUAAGAAGGCACUACUCAAUAAUGGUUACAGUAAUUACUGUUCAGUGUUUUAUUUUAUUGAUUCAAUAAUUGCUGCGUUGAUAUUUUAUAUUGCUGUUGUUUUAAUAAUUG
Molecule: long non-coding RNA, 271 nt
Filed under: Panax ginseng (ginseng)
Lineage: Eukaryota; Viridiplantae; Streptophyta; Magnoliopsida; Apiales; Araliaceae
Description: long non-coding RNA (PGIN_LNC000812)
Source: RNAcentral